This 406-nucleotide ribosomal RNA is filed under the name uncultured bacterium. RNAcentral's name for it is "bacterial SSU rRNA". It matches the Rfam family "Bacterial small subunit ribosomal RNA", at positions 354 to 777 of the family's 1533-position model. The record is from RNAcentral.
GUGGGGAAUAUUGCACAAUGGGGGGAACCCUGAUGCAGCGAUGCCGCGUGGAGGAAGAAGGUUUUCGGAUUGUAAACUCCUGUCGUAAGGGACGAUAAUGACGGUACCUUACAAGAAAGCUCCGGCUAACUACGUGCCAGCAGCCGCGGUAAUACGUAGGGAGCGAGCGUUGUCCGGAAUUACUGGGUGUAAAGGGAGCGUAGGCGGGACGGCAAGUCAGAUGUGAAAUAUACGUGCUCAACAUGUAGACUGCAUUUGAAACUGUCGUUCUUGAGUGAGGUAGAGGUAAGCGGAAUUCCUGGUGUAGCGGUGAAAUGCGUAGAGAUCAGGAGGAACAUCGGUGGCGAAGGCGGCUUACUGGGCCUUUACUGACGCUGAGGCUCGAAAGCGUGGGGAGCAAACAGGA